RNAcentral lists this unclassified non-coding RNA (282 nucleotides) under uncultured fungus. Its description in RNAcentral is "sequence contains ITS1". Lineage: Eukaryota; Fungi. The record is from RNAcentral.
GUCUUUGGUUUGUUUUUUGGUUUUGUAUAUGGGGGAAAAAAAAGGGUGGAAAAAAAGGGGGGUUGUGUUGGGAGAAGAAAAAAAGAAUCGUGGGCUUUUUCGUGGUGGUGGAAGAAAAGAGGAAAGGAGGGGGGCUGGCGAACACAAGAUUCGCAAGGACCCCCCCCCGUCUUUCCCUCCAGGAAAAAAAAAAAGCCCACAAUCGAGCACACAAAGAGGGUGUAGGGGGGUAAAUAUCAGAGUAUUUCACUGAUGAUCCUUCCGCAGGUUCACCUACGGAAA